GUUAUUCUUAGCCACAAUCCUCUACGCAGCGGAUUAUAUGCCACAUCGACUGAGCUGCUGAGAAAGCACAGACCAGUGACAGCCAUUGACAGCGCGUUGACAGUGCAAUGACGGAAACCAGUGCAACAACAGAAGCUGCAAUGACAGAUGAGCAGCAUCCUAUAAUAGCCAAAUCAUGAGAGACAGUCCAGCAGAUGAGUCAAUCGGCUAACGAUAGCAAUGCUACUUCGGUGCUGUUAGCCAGCAGCUCAGCUAACAAUAGCCUAGUGCCUGCACCCACUCUGUCCCUCAUCCCAGUAGGAGAGGAUGCUGCCUCUUCGACUACAACUUCAAAUGAAGACGUCAACCACGCUGGAACACUUCAAGGACAGGAUAGACACGAAACUCCCAUGAGUCAUGAAUCAUCAGGACAAAAGAGCAAGAGAAAUGAGCAACUGUGUUGGAAAAUAUCUGUUUCUUUGAUAAAAAGCCAAAGGUACAAGCCUGUGGACAUGAAAACCUAAGGAGAGACAUUAUGUAGGACUCACAAGGUGUGUUUCAGUAAAAUAUAUCCGAGAACUUAAAUAUAUGAUGCUGAAGCUAAAGACUGCACUAUGUAGAGACCUGAUUAAACAUAUGACAGUUUAAAUCCAUUGAUAUUCAGAUUCUGGGUCCAUUCUGGAUGAAUUCAGCAGCUAUGAUGCACUGUUUUAUUCCCAACUGCAACAAUGAAGUAUUCUGGAUUUGCUAAAGUGCUGAUUUACGCCUCUUUUUGGUUGCUUCUCUGAAGCAACAGUGGCUAAGGCUCAUGGGUAUUGUAGUAAAUUGUUGCCCUAGCAAGUUGACAGUUGAGUCCACAGCCAUGCUAGUGGCUCUGAGAGGCUGUACUUCAUGCAUCAGCAUGUUAACAUGCUCACAGUGACAAUGCUAACAUUCUGAGGAAGGUGUUUUUUACCAUGUUCAAUCUCUUAUGUAAGUAUAUUUACUUAAUUAGCAGUAAACACAAAAUACAGCUGAGGUUGAUAGGAAUGACAUCCAUUUUGCUCAUAAAACAAAGUAUUGGAAAAAUUAAAAUUGUGACCUAAUGAUGGCGCUAGAUGGAAAGUGAGGUUUUAAAGUUAUUAAGAUGUUUUCAGACUGAAAGUUAAGCAAAUUUUCCCCUUUGUGUCAUUUGAGCAAACUUGACUGUUGGAACACUGCAGUCUGUGUUCAUUGGCCCCAAAUAGUCAAAGUACUGACUGUUUUUUGCUGUCUUACAACUAGGCUAGAUACAGACACACAGACUGAAUGUGUGCAGUCUGUCUGGCUCUAUAUUUUUGUUCCUGCAGUGUUGUGCGAUUGUGUAAGGGAAAUGGCUGAAUA
Thunnus maccoyii (southern bluefin tuna) is the source of this 1341-nucleotide long non-coding RNA. RefSeq lists it as uncharacterized. Lineage: Eukaryota; Metazoa; Chordata; Actinopteri; Scombriformes; Scombridae. The record is from RefSeq and is a predicted model, not a curated record. The transcript has 3 exons.